ACGCUCGACACCUACUGGAGGCAGCAGUGGGGAAUAUUGCACAAUGGGGGAAACCCUGAUGCAGCGACGCCGCGUGAGCGAAGAAGUAUCUCGGUAUGUAAAGCUCUAUCAGCAGGGAAGAAGAUGACGGUACCUGACUAAGAAGCACCGGCUAAAUACGUGCCAGUAGCCGCGGUAAUCUGAGCGGGCUGGCAAGGC
RNAcentral lists this ribosomal RNA (198 nucleotides) under uncultured bacterium. RNAcentral describes it as "partial 16S ribosomal RNA". It matches the Rfam family "Bacterial small subunit ribosomal RNA", at positions 328 to 539 of the family's 1533-position model. The record is from RNAcentral.